UUUAUAUGUUCAUUGUAUAAAACAUUUAUUUAUAUGUGUAUGUAUAUAUUUUAAACUUUAUUUGUGCAACGUGUGUAUUAUAGUUAAAGCAAUGUAUUGAAUGAAUCAUAAUGUAUUCAUCCUUCAAUUAACCAAUUGGGGACAGAGAGAGCGAUAUAUAAACACCCCCAUAGGGUAGUGAAUGCAGAUGUCUCUGAGGAAGUAGGGCUAUUCCCUACGAAACGCGUCAGACAAGUCUGAGUCUACAGAUUGUUCACACAACGACGAG
Molecule: non-coding RNA, 268 nt
Organism: Pelobates cultripes (western spadefoot toad)
Lineage: Eukaryota; Metazoa; Chordata; Amphibia; Anura; Pelobatidae
Source: the annotation of a GenBank genome assembly